UACGUAGGUGGCGAGCGUUGUCCGGAUUUACUGGGCGUAAAGGAUGCGUAGGCGGAUGUUUAAGUCAGAUGUGAAAAUCCCGAGCUUAACUUGGGAACUGCAUUUGAAACUGGAUAUCUAGAGUGCGGGAGAGGAGAAUGGAAUUCCUAGUGUAGCGGUGAAAUGCGUAGAGAUUAGGAAGAACACCAGUGGCGAAGGCGAUUCUCUGGACCGUAACUGACGCUGAGGCAUGAAAGCGUGGGUAGCAAACAGG
Molecule: ribosomal RNA, 253 nt
Filed under: uncultured bacterium
Lineage: Bacteria
Description: partial 16S ribosomal RNA
Rfam family: Bacterial small subunit ribosomal RNA
Source: RNAcentral